ACGGAAGGCAGCAGUGGGGAAUAUUGGACAAUGGGGGAAACCCUGAUCCAGCGACGCCGCGUGAGUGAAGAAGUAUUUCGGUAUGUAAAGCUCUAUCAGCAAGGAAGAAAAUGACGGUACUUGACUAAGAAGCUCCGGCUAAAUACGUGCCAGCAGCCGCGGUGAUACGUAUGGAGCAAGCGUUAUCCGGAUUUACUGGGUGUAAAGGGAGCGUAGACGGCAACGCAAGUCCGAAGUGAAAUCCCGGGGCUCAACCCCGGAACUGCUUUGGAAACUGUUUAGCUAGAGUGCAGGAGAGGUAAGCGGAAUUCCUAGUGUAGCGGUGAAAUGCGUAGAUAUUAGGAGGAACACCAGUGGCGAAGGCGGCUUGCUGGACGACAACUGACGCUGAGGCGCGAAAGCGUGGGGAGCAAACAGGAUUAGAUACCCUGGUA
Molecule: ribosomal RNA, 434 nt
Filed under: uncultured Clostridium sp.
Lineage: Bacteria; Bacillati; Bacillota; Clostridia; Eubacteriales; Clostridiaceae
Description: partial 16S ribosomal RNA
Rfam family: Bacterial small subunit ribosomal RNA
Source: RNAcentral